Molecule: ribosomal RNA, 473 nt
Filed under: uncultured bacterium
Lineage: Bacteria
Description: bacterial SSU rRNA
Rfam family: Bacterial small subunit ribosomal RNA
Source: RNAcentral
GAUGAACGCUGGCGGCGUGCUUAACACAUGCAAGUCGAACGAAGCACUUUGAUCGAUUUCUUCGGAUUGAAAUUUUAGUGACUGAGUGGCGGACGGGUGAGUAACGCGUGGGUAACCUGCCUCACACAGGGGGAUAACAGUUGGAAACGGCUGCUAAUACCGCAUAAGCGCACAGUACCGCAUGGUACAGUGUGAAAAACUCCGGUGGUGUGAGAUGGACCCGCGUCUGAUUAGCUAGUUGGCAGGGCAACGGCCUACCAAGGCGACGAUCAGUAGCCGACCUGAGAGGGUGACCGGCCACAUUGGGACUGAGACACGGCCCAAACCCCUACGGGAGGCAGCAGUGGGGAAUAUUGCACAAUGGGGGAAACCCUGAUGCAGCGACGCCGCGUGAGCGAAGAAGUAUUUCGGUAUGUAAAGCUCUAUCAGCAGGGAAGAAGAAAUGACGGUACCUGACUAAGAAGCACCGGCUA